Molecule: ribosomal RNA, 253 nt
Filed under: uncultured bacterium
Lineage: Bacteria
Description: partial 16S ribosomal RNA
Rfam family: Bacterial small subunit ribosomal RNA
Source: RNAcentral
UACGGGGGGGGCAAGCGUUGUUCGGAAUUACUGGGCGUAAAGGGUCUGUAGGUGGCUCGCUAAGUCAGACGUGAAAUCCCUCAGCUUAACUGGGGAACUGCGUCUGAUACUGAUGAGCUUGAGUGCAGGAGAGGAACGCGGAAUUCCAGGUGUAGCGGUGAAAUGCGUAGAUAUCUGGAGGAACACCGGUGGCGAAGGCGGCGUUCUGGACUGCAACUGACACUGAGAGACGAAAGCCAGGGGAGCAAACGGG